UACAGAGGGUGCGAGCGUUGUCCGGAAUCACUGGGCGUAAAGGGCGCGUAGGUGGCUUGGUAAGCGUGUGGUGAAAGCCUGGGGCUCAACCCCAGGUCUGCCGUGCGAACUGCCAAGCUUGAGGAUAGUAGAGGCGGGUGGAAUUUCGGGUGUAGCGGUGGAAUGCGUAGAUAUCCGAAAGAACACCGGUGGCGAAGGCGGCCCGCUGGGCUAUUUCUGACACUGAGGCGCGACAGCGUGGGGAGCAAACAGG
Molecule: ribosomal RNA, 253 nt
Filed under: uncultured bacterium
Lineage: Bacteria
Description: partial 16S ribosomal RNA
Rfam family: Bacterial small subunit ribosomal RNA
Source: RNAcentral